UAAAUACUCACUCCAUCCAACAAAAGAUGUCUCAAGUUUUUCAAAAUUUGGAUAUAUCUAGAUAUGACUUAGUGUAUAGAUACUUUCAAAUUUAGUCAAAUUUGAGACAUCCUUUAUUGGACGGAGGGAGUGGUAU
Molecule: non-coding RNA, 136 nt
Organism: Brachypodium distachyon (stiff brome)
Lineage: Eukaryota; Viridiplantae; Streptophyta; Magnoliopsida; Poales; Poaceae
Source: Rfam